GAGUGAAAUAGAAACUUGGUUUUGCCUUUGCUGACUUCUGAUCUGACUCUCUCAAGUCUGAGUGACAUAGAUCUUUGAUUUUGCCAUUUCUGACUACUGAUCUGACUCUCUCAAGUCUGGUAAGUAAAGGUUUCUCUGAGGUACAGUCCUGGGAAAAGUCUUUCUUCCUUCCAAUUUUUUUUCAUGCUUUUUUGUCACGUUUCAGAUCAUCUAACAAGGAUAACCUGGAUAAAUACAAAAACGUUUUAAAGGGAUGAUUUCAUGUAUGGAGCGGAGAAAAGCAAACCAGAACAACCUGGUCUAAUGUAAAAACCAAUUGUUCUCUAAUACACAGCUGUGCAAGCCCUGAGAGCAACGAACACCCUCA
This is a long non-coding RNA of Pelmatolapia mariae (spotted tilapia), 367 nucleotides long. RefSeq lists it as uncharacterized. The transcript has 4 exons. NCBI's taxonomy places the organism in Eukaryota, Metazoa, Chordata, Actinopteri, Cichliformes, Cichlidae. The record is from RefSeq and is a predicted model, not a curated record.